This 253-nucleotide ribosomal RNA is filed under the name uncultured bacterium. RNAcentral's name for it is "partial 16S ribosomal RNA". It matches the Rfam family "Bacterial small subunit ribosomal RNA", at positions 524 to 776 of the family's 1533-position model. The record is from RNAcentral.
UACGUAGGUGGCAAGCGUUGUCCGGAAUCACUGGGCGUAAAGGGUGCGUAGGCGGGUCUUUAAGUCAGGGGUGAAAUCCUGGAGCUCAACUCCAGAACUGCCUUUGAUACUGAGGAUCUUGAGUCCGGGAGAGGUGAGUGGAACUGCGAGUGUAGAGGUGAAAUUCGUAGAUAUUCGCAAGAACACCAGUGGCGAAGGCGGCUCACUGGCCCGGUACUGACGCUGAGGCACGAAAGCGUGGGGAGCAAACAGG